Molecule: long non-coding RNA, 961 nt
Organism: Gallus gallus (chicken)
Lineage: Eukaryota; Metazoa; Chordata; Aves; Galliformes; Phasianidae
Exons: 5
Source: RefSeq, a predicted model, not a curated record
AUGUGCCAACUGAACCAGUACUGGAGCUGUUGCACCUUCUUUGCACCAAGAACUCAUGGAGAAAACUCCCUCCACAAACCGCUGUCCUUCUGAGUGAGAACCAUCGGGACUAGUCUUCAUGUUGUGCCGAAUGUACCUUGUUCUUAAGAGCAGGAUAUCCAGCAAGUUACUCUAAGAAAGCAACACAACACUGAAAGGGAAAAUUCCAUUGUGCUAGAAGAAUCCAAAUGUUAUUUCAGAGCUUUACGCAGUCUCCCAGAUACCUGGGAACCCAACUGUGAAGAUUGCAGGCAUAAUGAAAUGGGAAAGAAUUUAGAAAGUGAAUUCAAACAGAAGAAUCUAUGGGAGAAGUUCAGAUUUGUCUUGCCUUUCCUAAGCUUUUUCUCUGAAACACUCAUGAAACGAGAAAUCCUUUGAGAAGCUCACCUCACAGCUACCACCUCACAAGAACAGUGAGCUGUGUUUGGAGAGAUGCUUCCUGCAAACCAGUCACUCACUUGCAGGACUGAAGCUUUCCUAGCUUAUACCCAGUGAAAGCAUUACCGUGCCUCUUUUCUAUGGUGAUAUGUAACUUUCUUUUCAGUGCAAAUGUGAUGCAUUGAAUAGCUCUGCUUUCCUGUACAACAGAACUGAUAAAAUUUCAUCUCAUCAUUCACGUAGGAAAGAAUACAUCCAUUUGGUCAGGCUCACAUUUUAACUGAACAGAACCUCUAUUUGAAGUGCAUCCAAUUUUGAUUUAUGGAGCUGGUGUGAAUAAUUUUGUAUGGACGUGCUUCAGUUAAAUCUGUUUUGGGUUUUUGUUGUUGCUGCUGUUGCUGUCGUCUUUUCUCUUUCAUUUUAUGGUUAGAGUUAGAAACUGCGAUCCUUGGUGUCAGAGACUUGUUUCUGAAACGACCCACUGAGAUGACCUGUGGUUGUGUUCCAUGAUUUACCACAGAGAAAAUACAAAUAAAAGCACUGG